Molecule: small nuclear RNA, 143 nt
Organism: Oryctolagus cuniculus (rabbit)
Lineage: Eukaryota; Metazoa; Chordata; Mammalia; Lagomorpha; Leporidae
Gene: U2
Rfam family: U2 spliceosomal RNA
About the family: U2 is a small nuclear RNA (snRNA) component of the spliceosome (involved in pre-mRNA splicing). Complementary binding between U2 snRNA (in an area lying towards the 5' end but 3' to hairpin I) and the branchpoint sequence (BPS) of the intron results the bulging out of an unpaired adenosine, on the BPS, which initiates a nucleophilic attack at the intronic 5' splice site, thus starting the first of two transesterification reactions that mediate splicing.
Source: Ensembl
AUCGCUUCUCGGCCUUUUGGCUAAGAUCAAGUGAAGAUUUUGCUAAUUUAUUAAAACUAUUUUAUGAAUUGACUCAAAUAAAAGAUGAUUUGGGGCUGGCAUUUGGUGCAGCAGUUAAGUCAGCACUUGCAAUGCCCACAUCC